Molecule: non-coding RNA, 65 nt
Organism: Trichonephila inaurata madagascariensis
Lineage: Eukaryota; Metazoa; Arthropoda; Arachnida; Araneae; Nephilidae
Source: the annotation of a GenBank genome assembly
GUAGCACAAUGGAUAGUGCGUUAGACUCUUAAUCUAAAGGGCGUGGGCUCGAGUCCCAAUUACCU